CAUGCAGUCGCACGAGAAAGGGGAGCAAUCCCUGAGUAAAGUGGCGUACGGGUGAGUAACACGUGGAUGAUCUACCUCAUAGUGGGGAAUACCUCUUGGAAACGGGAGACAAUACCGCAUAAGCUGCCCUUUAGGAAAGGGACAGGAAAGCAGAAAUGCGCUGUGAGAGGAGUCCGCGGCUGAUUAUGCUAGUUGGCGGGGUAAUGGCCCACCAAGGCGAAGAUCGGUAGCCGGCCUGAGAGGGCUCACGGCCACACUGGCACUGAAACACGGGCCAGACUCCUACGGGAGGCAGCAGUGGGGAAUCUUGCACAAUGGACGAAAGUCUGAUGCAGCGACGCCGCGUGAGCGAUGAAGCCCCUCGGGGUGUAAAGCUCUUUCGACGGGAACGAUAAUGACGGUACCCGAAGAAGAAGCUGCGGCUAACUACGUGCCAGCAGCCGCGGUAAUACGUAGGCAGCAAGCGUUGUUCGGAAUUACUGGGCGUAAAGAGUGUGUAGGCGGUGCUCUAAGUCUGUUGUGAAAUCUCCCGGCUUAACUGGGAGGGUGCGGCGGAAACUGGAGUGCUUGAGGGUGGGAGAGGUAAGCGGAAUUCCUGGUGUAGCGGUGAAAUGCGUAGAUAUCAGGAGGAACACCUGUGGUGUAGACAGCUUACUGGACCACUUCUGACGCUGAGACACGAAAGCGUGGGUAGCAAACAGGAUUAGAUACCCUGGUAGUCCACGCCCUAAACGAUGCAUACUUGGUGUGAGCGAUUCAUUUCGUUCGUGCCGGAGCUAACGCGUUAAGUAUGCCGCCUG
Molecule: ribosomal RNA, 800 nt
Filed under: uncultured bacterium
Lineage: Bacteria
Description: bacterial SSU rRNA
Rfam family: Bacterial small subunit ribosomal RNA
Source: RNAcentral